GUUAAUCUUUCUCUCCCCUUUUAGUAUAUGUAAUUUAUAGGAAUUUGUACAAAUCGGUUUGUAAUUCUUAUUGCUUCUUAAUCUCUAUUUGUUAGUGGAUUCCCUCUAGUGCUAGACUAGAGUUUCUUUAACUAUUGGUAAAGGAGACAUAACUAAAAGUGGGUUUUGACAUGAGAUUAAAGAUUAAAAAGGGUCCAAUGCCCUAAUUAGCAAUGAAUGAUUGUCUUUCAUUUCUAAUGGCUCAAUGAAAAUGGUUUUAAUUGGAUUGAUAAGCACGUAAUUAAAUUGACACAAUCUCCCCGAGUUUAUAUUCAACAAUGAUGGCUCGUUGUUGCAAUAACCUAAUAAGUCCAUGGUCAUCCAAGAGCCUAAGAUAACUAUAAAGUCCAAUUUCAAAGGAAUGCAAAAACCUUAGUAGUAGUAGUUACUUCCAAUAUUUGAAAAAUUCGUUUUUGAUAUUGAUUUGUUUUUCUCAAAACAAAUAGUGGGAGUAUCAUACGCUACUAAACAAUAAUGAAUACAAUUAGUAGUUAUAUAUAUCUCCAAUAUUUUGAAAAAUGUUUUGAUAUUGAUUUGUUUUAUGAAAACGAAUAGUGGGGAUAUCAUAUGCUACUAAUUUCAUUAACUUUGGACUAGUAGUUAUAAUAGGACAAUUUAUUUGAUUGUGAUUAAAUAAAUAAAAUGAUGAGACCUUAAAAAUCCCUCAAACAACAAUCAUAUUAAGUUGUAAACGUAAGAGUGCUUAGAACACUUUUUCGUGGCCUUCCACCGUGGUAGGCUCCAAGCGUUUAUGACUUGUACACCGC
This 806-nucleotide long non-coding RNA is filed under the name Malus domestica (apple). RNAcentral's name for it is "long non-coding RNA (MDOM_LNC015463)". Lineage: Eukaryota; Viridiplantae; Streptophyta; Magnoliopsida; Rosales; Rosaceae. The record is from RNAcentral.